This 235-nucleotide long non-coding RNA is filed under the name Elaeis guineensis (African oil palm). RNAcentral describes it as "long non-coding RNA (EGUI_LNC030165)". Lineage: Eukaryota; Viridiplantae; Streptophyta; Magnoliopsida; Arecales; Arecaceae. The record is from RNAcentral.
CCAUCUCACCGCAGCCAUCUUCUCCUCUUCUUUUUCUUCUUCUUUCCUCCCAAUCCCUCACCUCAUCUCGCCACCUUCUCUGUACACACCGCCGCCACCACCCCGAGCGCCUCCGCACACGCCCUCCAUGCACACAGUGACCACAGCCACCCCAUCACCACUCGCCCCUCUUCCCUUCUGCUCGGCAGAUAGGCCACCACCACAGAAUGCCGCCCAUCACCAUCGCAGAAUGCCG